This 418-nucleotide unclassified non-coding RNA is filed under the name Hevea brasiliensis (rubber tree). Lineage: Eukaryota; Viridiplantae; Streptophyta; Magnoliopsida; Malpighiales; Euphorbiaceae. The record is from RNAcentral.
GGACAACCAAACAAUUGAAAGAAGCUAUUGCAGUUGCAGAGGAGGAGACUUCGAAAUGCAAAGCAGCAAAGGAAGUAAUCAAGUCACUUACAGCCCAAUUGAAAGACAUGGCAGAAAGGUUACCUGUUGGAGCAACAAGAAACAGCUAUUCACCUUCCUUUUAUUUUUCUAGUGCCACUCCCCCAAGGGAAGUUUCUACUGCAGUCAAUGAGCAACUGAGUUGUCCCACAACUUGCCAUGAACCAGAUUCAAAUGGAUCAACAAGCAGCCCGGUGAUUUCUAAUGUGUCUGGCACCACUAGCAAUCAAACUAUAAAUCACUCUGAAGUGCCUCAUUUGGAAGCAACAUUAAAGAGUAAAAACAGAACAGCAAAAGUUGAACCUACCCAUGGGGAUGAAUGGGUUGAGCAAGAUGAACC